CUGUUCCCAGAAGCAGAGCCUGAGGUGUCAUUCCAUCACAGACCUCCAUUCCUGUCCCAUCCAGACUCUGCCCAGAACUCCCUACACUCCCGGGAAGCCUGCCUUGAAGGGAAAGGAGGAGGCAUGAGCCGGAGAUGAGGAGAUCAUCUGAAUGGCAGUCCUGCGGGAGGACAGGAAAUGAGAACUGACGUUGAGAAGGAGUCCUCCUGGAACACUCCUUCCCUGCGAGCUCUCGGUUACCCUGGCUCUGGAGCAUUCUCCGCAUGCAGCUAGCUCAUGGAACACAGCGUGCAGAGCCUGUGCGUCUGGACUUGGAAAGCUGCCAAAAGACAGGGCAAGGUUUCCCGAGGGCUGGAAUCUGUGGGAUUCCUUGGGACCCCAGGGAACUUUCCCAGUAGCUGGGGCUUGGGCUGUCCUCAUGGUGCUGUCUCCCCCAUGCCCUGCAUGGCUAAAGGAGAAUUGAUAUUAAAUAUAAAGGCCACCAAAUAGA
Long non-coding RNA from Hyaena hyaena (striped hyena), 490 nucleotides. RefSeq lists it as uncharacterized. The transcript has 3 exons. NCBI's taxonomy places the organism in Eukaryota, Metazoa, Chordata, Mammalia, Carnivora, Hyaenidae. The record is from RefSeq and is a predicted model, not a curated record.